RNAcentral lists this ribosomal RNA (264 nucleotides) under uncultured bacterium. RNAcentral's name for it is "partial 16S ribosomal RNA". It matches the Rfam family "Bacterial small subunit ribosomal RNA", at positions 272 to 523 of the family's 1533-position model. The record is from RNAcentral.
GGCGACGAUCCUUAGCUGGUCUGAGUAGGAUGAUCAGCCCACACUGGAACUGAGACACGGUCCAGACUCCUACGGGAGGCAGCAGUGGGGAAUAUUGCGCAAUGGGGGGAACCCUGACGCAGCCAUGCCGCGUGUGUGAAGAAGGCCUUAGGGUUGUAAAAGCACUUUCAAUUGGGAAGAAAGCUUUAACGGUUAAUACGCGUUGAGCCCUGACAUUACCUUUAGAAGAAGCACCGGCUAACUCCGUGCCAGCAGCCGCGGUAA